UUCGGAUCGUAAAACUCUGUUGUUAGGGAAGAACAAGUACGAGAGUAACUGCUCGUACCUUGACGGUACCUAGCCAGAAAGCCACGGCUAACUACGUGCCAGCAGCCGCGGUAAUA
Molecule: ribosomal RNA, 116 nt
Filed under: uncultured bacterium
Lineage: Bacteria
Description: partial 16S ribosomal RNA
Rfam family: Bacterial small subunit ribosomal RNA
Source: RNAcentral